CAUUUUCAUUCAUAACAUUGAGUACAAAUAAUCCAUGAUUAUAAUAACCCUUGCUAAUAAAAUUAUUAUUCUUGGGCAACACGACCUUAUCAGACUCAAAAGUAUCACGACUUAAACCGAUGGGCCAUGACAGGCACCCGACACCUUACUCAAUCAAGUACCAAUGUGACGUAUCUUUCUUAUUACAUCAUCAUAUACACGUGACAUACAGCCUAAUAGGCCAACAUAAUCAUUUAUAAACUCAAAACAUAGACCGACAAGGCCGUACAAUCUUUCACGUGCACGACAUAUAUCUACAAGCCUCUAGAGUACAUAAAUGUUAUAAAGGUCGAGACAGAGUCCUGCCAUACUAACCAACAAGCAACUCUGAAGUAAAUGGAGCGCAUCCACAUCUUCCGCUAAGCUGAUAGCCUAUUUGGAGGGCUCUCAACCUGUCUAUCGGGACCUACAGGCAUAAAACGCAGUGUCACCGGGUAUUAAGGACGUCAAUAUAAAAAAUAUACCAAGUAUGUAAGGCACAUAAAUAAGUACUUACAGACACGAAAGAAAUAUGUAGUACAUGACUCAGCCUGUAAGUCUGAAUAACUUUGUAAAUCAUGAAAUACUUAUAGUAUCAUGCAUAUGCGUAUGAAUGUCAUAUCGUGCAUAGGUACAUGUUUCAUAAAUCAUCAACGCAUACUAGUUGAUCAGGUGUGGUGUGUAUAUAUAAUGUCAUAACCUUUAUAUAUAUAGACACACACACACACAUAUAUACAUAUAUAUAUAUAUACGCGUAUAUAACGCCAUCUGGUCAUGAGUCGGUGUAAAUGAAUGCAAUGCAUAAAAUGCAUAAAGAAUACUUUAAUAAGAUUUUCUAAGAAUGCCAUAAAAAUCAAUAUAUCUUUUGGAUAAACUUUAUUAAAUACGUAUUUUUCUAAGACCCGUGAACAGAAGAUAUAAUAAUUCAUAUGGGAAAUCAAGAAUAUAGACACCCCUAGUAUUUCUAUGAAUAGAGUCAUUUAUGAAAGUUGUAUAUUUUGCUUAUUUCAUUUGUAUUAAUCGAAUCAUGCCGAAAAAAAAAGAAGGGAUAACCUUAAUAUACCUGGAAUAGAGAAAAUUUGUAUAAUAUUCUGUUGGAGAACUUUCAUUGAUUGAACUUAAAACUCAAAAGAAAUCGAAUUUCUGAUUUCUAAAUCUUGAACGAAAUUGUGCCAUGAUUUCUUGAAAUGUUUGGACGAAAUGUUUUCUGUUUUUGGUUUUAAACCAAA
This 1247-nucleotide long non-coding RNA is filed under the name Nicotiana benthamiana. RNAcentral's name for it is "long non-coding RNA (NBEN_LNC038033)". The record is from RNAcentral. Lineage: Eukaryota; Viridiplantae; Streptophyta; Magnoliopsida; Solanales; Solanaceae.